UGGCUCUGGCAUCGAUGAAGAACGCAGCGAAAUGCGAUAAGUAAUGUGAAUUGCAGAAUUCAGUGAAUCAUCGAAUCUUUGAACGCACAUUGCGCCCGCCAGUAUUCUGGCGGGCAUGCCUGUCCGAGCGUCAUUAACAACCCUCAGGCCCCUCGGGGCCUGGCGUUGGGGACCGGCGGAGCCCUCUGGGGCACACGCCGCCCCCUAAAUCUAUUGGCGGUCUCGCUGCAGCCCACUGCGUAGUAGCUAACACCUCGCAACUGGAAAGCGGCGCGGCCAUGCCGUAAAACACCCAACUUUUAUGAUGUUGACCUCGGAUCAGGUAGGAAUACCCGCUGA
This 339-nucleotide unclassified non-coding RNA is filed under the name uncultured fungus. RNAcentral describes it as "partial contains 5.8S ribosomal RNA and internal transcribed spacer 2". The stretch from base 1 to 133 matches the Rfam family "5.8S ribosomal RNA", at positions 22 to 154 of the family's 154-position model. Lineage: Eukaryota; Fungi. The record is from RNAcentral.